CCUACGGGGGGCUGCAGUAGGGAAUAUUGGACAAUGGGUGCGAGCCUGAUCCAGCCAUGCCGCGUGCAGGAAGAAGGCGUUAUGCGUUGUAAACUGCUUUUGCCAGGGGAUAAAAUAACUGUGCGCAGUUGAUUGAAGGUACCUGGUGAAUAAGCCACGGCUAACUACGUGCCAGCAGCCGCGGUACUACGGGGGUGGCAAGCGUUGUCUGGAUUUAAAGGGUUUAAAGGCUGCGUAGGCGGUCAUUGGUGAAAUAUCUCAGCUUAACUGAGAGGGUGCCAUUGAUACUGCGGGGCUUGAGUACAGAUGAGGUAGGCGGAAUUGACGGUGUAGCGGUGAAAUGCAUAGAUAUCGGCAAGAACACCGAUAGCGAAGGCAGCUUACCAAGCUGUAACUGACGCUGAGGCACGAAAGUGUGGGGAUCAAACAGGAUUAGAUACCCCAGUAGUC
RNAcentral lists this ribosomal RNA (450 nucleotides) under uncultured bacterium. RNAcentral describes it as "partial 16S ribosomal RNA". It matches the Rfam family "Bacterial small subunit ribosomal RNA", at positions 338 to 795 of the family's 1533-position model. The record is from RNAcentral.